RNAcentral lists this long non-coding RNA (793 nucleotides) under Brassica napus (rape). Its description in RNAcentral is "long non-coding RNA (BNAP_LNC008959)". Lineage: Eukaryota; Viridiplantae; Streptophyta; Magnoliopsida; Brassicales; Brassicaceae. The record is from RNAcentral.
AUGUCUUUCGGAAAUUAAACAAAAAAAAACUAAUACAAAUCACAGGGAAAAUAUAAGAAAUCAAAAACAGUUUUUUUUUUAAUUAUGAUUCAAUAAGAAUAAAACAUCAUAGAAUCUACUGAGACUAGACUAUCUUAGCUAGAAACUCGAAAUUGUAAACGUAGACAAUGUAUUGGAAGAAACCAAUAGUAUAAACGCCAGCUCCCGGGUGGAAGCUUUGACCAGCAAAGUCUAUGGCUAAAAGACCAUUAAUAAAACAAAGAAAGAGAAUGAGGAGACCAUGUCCAAUGUCAGUCGUGCUAGUGAGGUGAUAGAUGGAGACUCCUCCGGCGAGAAACGAAAAGGUGGAAACGAAGACAUCCACGGUAGGGUAAUUGAAAGGAACAUAAAACAUGAUAGGUAAUAUAAUCAAAGAUGUUACAAAUCUGAUAUUUUUUAGUACAGGAGUUGUGGUUGGAUCUGGAUAGCCAUCGUCGAAAAAUAAACACUUGAGUAACAUGACUGCAAAGAAAAUUGUGACAGGAGAGAACAAAACCACUCUUCCUCCUGAUAAGAAGAGCAAGCCAAGGAUUGAGAAAAUUGUUAAAGCGUACCAAAUCCCACGAGUGAAUACACGAUAACCCAUUAAGCUCUCUUUCUCCAAUUUUUCCCAAGCCUCUGUCAUCACACAAGGGUGUUUAAUGGUUUCCAUAUCUGUCUUCUUUUUUUCCGUAGGUUUUUUUCUCGAGUGAUGAGAUUUCUUGGGGUGUUUACUUUUGUUUCUCAUAUCUUUUCUCUUUUUUUUUUCUUUUUU